Long non-coding RNA from Dicentrarchus labrax (European seabass), 431 nucleotides. RefSeq lists it as uncharacterized. The transcript has 3 exons. The record is from RefSeq and is a predicted model, not a curated record. Lineage: Eukaryota; Metazoa; Chordata; Actinopteri; Moronidae.
AUAAAACAAAACACGUGUAACCAGUAAUAUCUAUUAAUAUUUAUUUCUGUUUUUCCCUCUGAUGUCCUGCAGCAGCUCUGUCUCAACUCAGCCAACUGCUGCUGUAGCUGGGAUUAACAUGCAACAGAACGGGGCUCAGCAGCCUCCCAGUGAACACCGCUGGACCGGGACCAAACACAGCCUCUGACACAGACGGAGGCCAUUUUGGCAACAGCAGUAGCCAGUAACAGAAGCUAAAUCCUCAGCAGGAUGCUGGUGACAUUUGAGAACAGCUGGCUGGCCUUUCUGAGCUCCGUGCUUCACUUUGCAGGUGUCACAGAGCAAAUAUCCAGUGGUCAGCUGACCAAGAUGUGAAGAGUUGCCUGAUGGUUGCCUUGUAAUGUACUUAAGAAUGCAGACUCACAUGGUGCAUCUGCUGAUGGAAAACUGAG